GCUCUUUUGCUCCGACGUUGGAAAGUUCCGGGCGGAAAGAACUAACUAGCCGAAAAGUUCCGGAGGAACUUAAUAACUAGUUACUUUGUUCUUCCUCUGGUUUAAAAGUUCCACCGGAACAAAGUAACUAGUUGAAAAUUUCCAACGGAACAUAUCAACUAGUUAGAAAGUUCCUUUUUGCCAAAUUAGUCAAAACCGGAACUAACAAACUAGCCCAAAAGUUCCAGCGGAACUUAUCAACCAGUCACAAAGUUUCAUUUGGAGAAUUGAUGCAAAGUAAAAGCGUAACAUAUUAUAUUUGAACCUUUCAAAGGGGAACCAAGAUACUGAUUACAAAAGUCAAAAGGAACUUAUCAACUAGUCACAAAGUUCGUCUUUGGCAAAUUAGUCAAAACCGGAACUAACAAACUAGCCCAAAAGUUCCUUCUCAUGUGGGUACUUUUAAAAAUAUCAAUUUCAGAUUAAUGUAUAACAAUGAAUUACAACUUAUUCCGUUAUGAAG
RNAcentral lists this long non-coding RNA (502 nucleotides) under Mytilus galloprovincialis (Mediterranean mussel). Lineage: Eukaryota; Metazoa; Mollusca; Bivalvia; Mytilida; Mytilidae. The record is from RNAcentral.